This 393-nucleotide long non-coding RNA is filed under the name Elaeis guineensis (African oil palm). RNAcentral describes it as "long non-coding RNA (EGUI_LNC036565)". Lineage: Eukaryota; Viridiplantae; Streptophyta; Magnoliopsida; Arecales; Arecaceae. The record is from RNAcentral.
AUGCAUCAUUUCUAAUUUUACUUAGAGCGAUCAAUCCCAUCUUGACUUGCAUUCAGACUUCACAAGUAUUUGACUGUAUCCAAAAAUCUUCUGUCAUCGAAUUAAAAAUUCGGAUAGUCUAGCACUAAAGCAAAGUGAGUUACUGGCAAGUCACUAAGACAGCCUCAGAUUAGAGGAAGACAUAUACUCAUAUCCCAUCAGAGCAAUCUUUGACAGUAGAGUACUCCAGAAGUAGUCACGCUCAGUGAAAUAUACUCCUACAUAUCAUCCAUAUGUCAUAUCCGUGUCACAAUACAUCUUGGUUAAGAGAACAACUAACUAAUAUAGCACACAAUGAUCUACACUCGAUAUAAUUAUCAUCCUUAUAAUAAUUAUAUCAUUUAGUCGCAAGCA